UACGUAGGUGGCAAGCGUUGUCCGGAUUUACUGGGCGUAAAGCGCACGCAGGCGGUCUGUUAAGUUUGACGUGAAAGCUCCCGGCUUAACUGGGAGAGGUCGUUGAAGACUGGCAGACUUGAGGCGAUGAGAGGGGUGUAGAAUUCCCGGUGUAGUGGUGGAAUGCGUAGAUAUCGGGGGGAAUACCAGUGGCGAAGGCGGCGAUCUGGGAAGAUACUGACGCUGAGGUGCGAAAGCGUGGGGAGCAAACAGG
This 253-nucleotide ribosomal RNA is filed under the name uncultured bacterium. RNAcentral describes it as "partial 16S ribosomal RNA". It matches the Rfam family "Bacterial small subunit ribosomal RNA", at positions 524 to 776 of the family's 1533-position model. The record is from RNAcentral.